Molecule: ribosomal RNA, 366 nt
Filed under: Salmonella enterica subsp. enterica serovar Enteritidis
Lineage: Bacteria; Pseudomonadati; Pseudomonadota; Gammaproteobacteria; Enterobacterales; Enterobacteriaceae
Description: partial 23S ribosomal RNA
Rfam family: Bacterial large subunit ribosomal RNA
Source: RNAcentral
AAAUCCGGUUCACUUUAACACUGAGGCGUGACGACGAGGCACUACGGUGCUGAAGCAACAAAUGCCCUGCUUCCAGGAAAAGCCUCUAAGCAUCAGGUAACAUCAAAUCGUACCCCAAACCGACACAGGUGGUCAGGUAGAGAAUACCAAGGCGCUUGAGAGAACUCGGGUGAAGGAACUAGGCAAAAUGGUGCCGUAACUUCGGGAGAAGGCACGCUGACACGUAGGUGAAGUGAUUUACUCAUGGAGCUGAAGUCAGUCGAAGAUACCAGCUGGCUGCAACUGUUUAUUAAAAACACAGCACUGUGCAAACACGAAAGUGGACGUAUACGGUGUGACGCCUGCCCGGUGCCGGAAGGUUAAUUG